This 758-nucleotide ribosomal RNA is filed under the name uncultured bacterium. RNAcentral's name for it is "bacterial SSU rRNA". It matches the Rfam family "Bacterial small subunit ribosomal RNA", at positions 108 to 861 of the family's 1533-position model. The record is from RNAcentral.
GAGUAAUGCUUAGGAAUUUGCCUAUUAGUGGGGGACAACAUCUCGAAAGGGAUGCUAAUACCGCAUACGUCCUACGGGAGAAAGCAGGGGAUCUUCGGACCUUGCGCUAAUAGAUGAGCCUAAGUCGGAUUAGCUAGUUGGUGGGGUAAAGGCCUACCAAGGCGACGAUCUGUAGCGGGUCUGAGAGGAUGAUCCGCCACACUGGGACUGAGACACGGCCCAGACUCCUACGGGAGGCAGCAGUGGGGAAUAUUGGACAAUGGGGGGAACCCUGAUCCAGCCAUGCCGCGUGUGUGAAGAAGGCCUUAUGGUUGUAAAGCACUUUAAGCGAGGAGGAGGCUACUUUAGAUAAUACCUAGAGAUAGUGGACGUUACUCGCAGAAUAAGCACCGGCUAACUCUGUGCCAGCAGCCGCGGUAAUACAGAGGGUGCAAGCGUUAAUCGGAUUUACUGGGCGUAAAGCGCGCGUAGGCGGCUAAUUAAGUCAAAUGUGAAAUCCCCGAGCUUAACUUGGGAAUUGCAUUCGAUACUGGUUAGCUAGAGUGUGGGAGAGGAUGGUAGAAUUCCAGGUGUAGCGGUGAAAUGCGUAGAGAUCUGGAGGAAUACCGAUGGCGAAGGCAGCCAUCUGGCCUAACACUGACGCUGAGGUGCGAAAGCAUGGGGAGCAAACAGGAUUAGAUACCCUGGUAGUCCAUGCCGUAAACGAUGUCUACUAGCCGUUGGGGCCUUUGAGGCUUUAGUGGCGCAGCUAACGCGAU